CCGGCUCCCUGGCGAGUGCUCCGGGGCGCCCCGCUUACAAGACCGACCACUAGGCUGUGCGGCGCUGUGCGGAGGACAGCCCCUACAGCGGGGGUCGCCCCCACACUGGGACUCCCAUCUGUGCUCCCCUGCGGCUCCGGGGAGUCUAUACUUUAGAAGGACUGGGGAUUCCAGAGAAACCAAGCCCGCCUCAAAGGUCUCCCUCCUUGCAUGUGACCUUCCCCUGAAAGCAGGAGCAAGAAAGACCUUGGCAAUCAUGUUUCAACCCUCCACCCUCUUCCGACCUUUGCAGAGUCUUGGCGAUCUAGAGGAAAACACAAAGUCUUUGGAGUUAUAUGGGCCUGAUACAAAGUUUGGCUCUGCCAUGUGAUCUUGUGCAACCUCAGCAACCUUUCAGAGCUGAGCACCCUCUUUUGCAAAAGGAGGCCAGCAAGACCCAUCUGUCAGGAUACUGUUAAGACUCAGCCACA
Molecule: long non-coding RNA, 470 nt
Organism: Grammomys surdaster
Lineage: Eukaryota; Metazoa; Chordata; Mammalia; Rodentia; Muridae
Exons: 3
Source: RefSeq, a predicted model, not a curated record